Triticum aestivum (bread wheat) is the source of this 134-nucleotide non-coding RNA. Lineage: Eukaryota; Viridiplantae; Streptophyta; Magnoliopsida; Poales; Poaceae. The record is from Rfam.
UUCAUACUCCCUCCAUCCAAAAAUACUUGUCAUCAAAAUAAAUAAAAGGAGAUGUAUUUAGAUGUAUUUUAUUUCCAGAUACAUUUUUUUUAUCCAUUUUGAUGACAAGUAUUUUCGCACGGAGGGAGUACCUU